GAUUAGUGGCGAACGGGUGAGUAACACGUGGGCAAUCUGCCCUGCACUCUGGGACAAGCCCUGGAAACGGGGUCUAAUACCGGAUACGACCACUGAGGGCAUCCUCGGUGGUGGAAAGCUCCGGCGGUGCAGGAUGAGCCCGCGGCCUAUCAGCUUGUUGGUGGGGUGAUGGCCUACCAAGGCGACGACGGGUAGCCGGCCUGAGAGGGCGACCGGCCACACUGGGACUGAGACACGGCCCAGACUCCUACGGGAGGCAGCAGUGGGGAAUAUUGCACAAUGGGCGAAAGCCUGAUGCAGCGACGCCGCGUGAGGGAUGACGGCCUUCGGGUUGUAAACCUCUUUCAGCAGGGAAGAAGCGAAAGUGACGGUACCUGCAGAAGAAGCGCCGGCUAACUACGUGCCAGCAGCCGCGGUAAUACGUAGGGCGCGAGCGUUGUCCGGAAUUAUUGGGCGUAAAGAGCUCGUAGGCGGCUUGUCACGUCGGUUGUGAAAGCCCGGGGCUUAACCCCGGGUCUGCAGUCGAUACGGGCAGGCUAGAGUUCGGUAGGGGAGAUCGGAAUUCCUGGUGUAGCGGUGAAAUGCGCAGAUAUCAGGAGGAACACCGGUGGCGAAGGCGGAUCUCUGGGCCGAUACUGACGCUGAGGAGCGAAAGCGUGGGGAGCGAACAGGAUUAGAUACCCUGGUAGUCCACGCCGUAAACGUUGGGCACUAGGUGUGGGC
This 723-nucleotide ribosomal RNA is filed under the name Actinomycetes bacterium. RNAcentral's name for it is "bacterial SSU rRNA". It matches the Rfam family "Bacterial small subunit ribosomal RNA", at positions 90 to 827 of the family's 1533-position model. Lineage: Bacteria; Bacillati; Actinomycetota; Actinomycetes. The record is from RNAcentral.